This 73-nucleotide transfer RNA is filed under the name Dermacentor silvarum. Its description in RNAcentral is "transfer RNA tyrosine (anticodon GUA)". It matches the Rfam family "tRNA". From Rfam's summary of the family: Transfer RNA (tRNA) molecules are approximately 80 nucleotides in length. Their secondary structure includes four short double-helical elements and three loops (D, anti-codon, and T loops). Lineage: Eukaryota; Metazoa; Arthropoda; Arachnida; Ixodida; Ixodidae. The record is from RNAcentral.
CCGUCGAUAGCUCAGAUGGUAGGGCGGUGGACUGUAGAUCCAUAGGUCGCUGGUUCAAAUCCGUCUCGACGGA